AGCCAGUUGAAACAGAAUAACCAUUGCUUUCAAGGAUCUUAACUAAAUUAGCAGACUUGCCAUCUCCUCCAACUAUGUAUAAAACCUUUAAAGUAUGGGAGCACAGUGAAUCUUCAAAAGUAUCAUGCAGAAUUUGGAGGCCCUUCGAAAGUUUUUCUUCUUCAGAAAAGCAAACAUCUAUGGUUUGGACAAUGCAUGCACUUUGACUGCAAAUGGAAUCACUGAGACACAAUCUCUGAAUUGGUCCUGAGAGAAGAUUUUGCAUAGCCGGAACACAAGCAUAACUAAAGAAAUUGUUGAAAACCACAGUGUUAGGAUUCC
Molecule: unclassified non-coding RNA, 321 nt
Filed under: Hevea brasiliensis (rubber tree)
Lineage: Eukaryota; Viridiplantae; Streptophyta; Magnoliopsida; Malpighiales; Euphorbiaceae
Source: RNAcentral